RNAcentral lists this ribosomal RNA (427 nucleotides) under uncultured Stenotrophomonas sp. RNAcentral describes it as "bacterial SSU rRNA". It matches the Rfam family "Bacterial small subunit ribosomal RNA", at positions 355 to 774 of the family's 1533-position model. Lineage: Bacteria; Pseudomonadati; Pseudomonadota; Gammaproteobacteria; Lysobacterales; Lysobacteraceae. The record is from RNAcentral.
UGGGGAAUAUUGGACAAUGGGCGCAAGCCUGAUCCAGCCAUACCGCGUGGGUGAAGAAGGCCUUCGGGUUGUAAAGCCCUUUUGUUGGGAAAGAAAAGCAGUCGGCUAAUACCCGGUUGUUCUGACGGUACCCAAAGAAUAAGCACCGGCUAACUUCGUGCCAGCAGCCGCGGUAAUACGAAGGGUGCAAGCGUUACUCGGAAUUACUGGGCGUAAAGCGUGCGUAGGUGGUUGUUUAAGUCUGUUGUGAAAGCCCUGGGCUCAACCUGGGAAUUGCAGUGGAUACUGGACGACUAGAGUGUGGUAGAGGGUAGUGGAAUUCCCGGUGUAGCAGUGAAAUGCGUAGAGAUCGGGAGGAACAUCCAUGGCGAAGGCAGCUACCUGGACCAACACUGACACUGAGGCACGAAAGCGUGGGGAGCAAACA